AAGCUGCCCUGCAGUGAAAGUAAACUCACUUAUUUUUAGCCUUCUUUUCAUUCAGGAAUACUGGCAAGGCCCCACUGUUUGUCAUUUCCCCAGUUUGCACCCUCUAAACGAGGGAAUCGGGCCCCUGUGGUAAAUAUUAGGUGUAUCCUGGUGGUAAUCAUCUCAAAAGGUCCUCCAUGUGAACAAGAGGGGCUCUUCUCCACGGUGGAUGGGAGGGCUACCUCCAUGGGAAGCCAUUAUAGGAAGGGAGAGGUGGUCUAGGGCUCCAGCAGCGCUGCUUCUUUGCCCCUGUGCCCAGCUGCCCCCAUCUGCAGCCCGGGGAGUACCAGUGUUGAUCUAUUCAGAGCCAUGCAGAAGGUGACAUUGAGUUUUAAAAUUUUCUCUUUCCUCUUAGGAUUCACAGCUCAGACAAAAGGAAUUGUGUGAAGUUACUCACACAUGACUUUGCAUGAGUCAAGCAACUUGGGGAGAAAAAAAACCAAAAUCCAUGAUAAGCAUUCAUAAUCUUUUAAAAGUAUUACACCCACUUGUAGCUGCACAAAGAUAGACUGAAGCAGUCUUUCAUAUUCCCUAUGAUUGUAUGACCAUCAAAGCUUAGCAAGAAAGCAGAGAGGGAAAGUGAGGGGGUGUUUGCCUGCAGACAGCAAAAAUAGAAUGACGUUUUUGCAAACUACUUUUCCAAUCUUCCAAGAGUGAUUUCUAUACAAUGUAUGAUACAGGAAAGAAAUCUGCCAGUCCAUAGACUCCUCAGAUUAUGAUCCAACAGUCUUAAUUUUUCUCCAACAGAUGAUGAUGGACAACGCAUAAUUCACCACAUAGGUCACCUUAUUUUUAGAUGUUGACUCUAUGGCUGCACAGCCUUUGUGCUCCUCAGCAUUGGUUCAGGGGGCAGGAAUAAGAUAAACUAAGCAUCUGUAUAAAAGAAUCAGCUUACUAACAGAAACACUGCAACAGAUACAUGCAUUGGAGAUCUAACCUCGCUUUCUAAUAAGCAGGGUAAAAAUAUGAUAAUAGUCCUUAAUCUAAGUUUCUUUUAAGAAUCUCUAAGGGCCAGUGACAAUGUUGUGAUUAUUAAAAAUUAUUCCAAGCCCGUGUUACCUGAGUACUUCAGUCAAAGGUAUUUAGAGAUUAGUGUGAGCAAAUUUUGGAAUGGAAACCUUGGACAGAAUCUGAAUAGGAAUCUCUUUCUGCUUCCAGAGUGGUUGGCUGACUUACUCGGAGGACGUCUUUUGGGGUAAGAUAUGAAUGGACUUAAAGAAGUCAAAUACCAUCUACCAAUAGUGAGGAAUAAAUUGUGUUCAAAUGGCAGGACUGAUUAAAAACCACAUUCCCCUUUUCUCAAUGUCAAAGCUGCAUACGUAUACCAGUGGGUGCCAGAGAAGAUACUGCAGCACUGACUUAGUAACAAGGGGGACUACAUUGGAAUCAGCAUCAAAAAUCAACUCAGCUCUUUCAAUUCGCUGAAAACAUGGAAGAAAGUCAAAACUGAGCAAGAUCUUCAAAAGUGUUUUUGCUGUCUGUCAGGAUACAAAAAGAUUUAGUCUGCCUUUUCACAUGUUUUCUCUACCUUAUUCUCACUGAGAUAUUUAUCAAGUUAAUUGUUUUUAAAAGUAA
Molecule: long non-coding RNA, 1614 nt
Organism: Pseudopipra pipra
Lineage: Eukaryota; Metazoa; Chordata; Aves; Passeriformes; Pipridae
Exons: 3
Source: RefSeq, a predicted model, not a curated record